Molecule: ribosomal RNA, 116 nt
Filed under: uncultured bacterium
Lineage: Bacteria
Description: partial 16S ribosomal RNA
Rfam family: Bacterial small subunit ribosomal RNA
Source: RNAcentral
UACGUUCCCGGGCCUUGUACACACCGCCCGUCACGUCACGAAAGCGGGCAACGCCUGAAGCCGGCGGGGUAACCGUAAGGAGCCAGCCGUCGAGGGCGGGGUUCGUGAUUGGGACG